UGCCUUAUAGUAUAUAACCAACAAUUACUGUAAAUUGCAACUUUACCAAAGCAAAAGCUAAGGCAU
RNAcentral lists this transfer RNA (66 nucleotides) under Quadrula quadrula (mapleleaf mussel). RNAcentral's name for it is "tRNA-Cys". Lineage: Eukaryota; Metazoa; Mollusca; Bivalvia; Unionida; Unionidae. The record is from RNAcentral.